AUUGAACGCUGGCGGAAUGCUUUACACAUGCAAGUCGAACGAUGAACCUUAGCUUGCUAAGGGGAUUAGUGGCGAACGGGUGAGUAAUGUAUCGGAACGUAUCCAAUAAUGGGGGAUAACUAGUCGAAAGAUUAGCUAAUACCGCAUACGUCCUACGGGAGAAAGCUAGGGACCUUCGGGCCUGGCGUUAAUGGAGCGGCCGAUAUCUGAUUAGCUAGUUGGUGGGGUAAAGGCUCACCAAGGCGACGAUCAGUAGCUGGUCUGAGAGGACGACCAGCCACACUGGAACUGAGACACGGUCCAGACUCCUACGGGAGGCAGCAGUGGGGAAUUUUGGACAAUGGGCGAAAGCCUGAUUCAGCCAUUCCGCGUGAGUGAAGAAGGCCUUCGGGUUGUAAAGCUCUUUCGCAAGAGAAGAAAACUUAGGCUCUAACAUAGCUUGAGGUUGACGGUACCUUGAUAAGAAGCACCGGCUAACUACAUGCCAGCCGCCGCGGUAA
This 500-nucleotide ribosomal RNA is filed under the name uncultured bacterium. Its description in RNAcentral is "partial 16S ribosomal RNA". It matches the Rfam family "Bacterial small subunit ribosomal RNA", at positions 30 to 523 of the family's 1533-position model. The record is from RNAcentral.